Carlito syrichta (Philippine tarsier) is the source of this 1460-nucleotide RNA transcript. It is a transcript of the gene named C-terminal-binding protein 2 pseudogene, with no coding region annotated. The transcript is spliced from 2 exons. The record is from RefSeq and is a predicted model, not a curated record. Lineage: Eukaryota; Metazoa; Chordata; Mammalia; Primates; Tarsiidae.
GUGGCUCGGGAGCGGCCCGGAGGAGCCGGCGGCGGCCCGAGGAACAAGGGACCGAACCGCGAGUCAUGCCACGCUGGGGGUGGGGGGGGGCCGCACAGCCACCGCCACCGCCACCGCUGCCAGAAUGGCCCUGUGGAUAAGCACAAAGUCAAGAGACAGCGAUUGGACAAAAUCUGUGAAGGUAUCCGUCCCCAGAUCAUGAACGGCCCCCUGCACCCCCGCCCCCUGGUGGCACUGCUGGACGGCCGCGACUGCACCGUGGAGAUGCCGAUCCUGAAGGACCUGCCACCGUGGCCUUCUGUGACGCCCAGUCCACUCAGGAGAUUCAUGAGAAGGUUUUAAACGAAGCCGUGGGUGCCAUGAUGUACCACACAAUCACUCUCACCAGGGAGGACCUGGAGAAAUUCAAGGCCCUGAGAGUGAUCGUGCGGAUAGGCAGCGGCUACAACAACGUGGACAUCUAGGCUUCUGGCGAGCUCGGGAUCGCUGUGUGCAACAUCCCGUCUGCAAUCGUGGAGGAGACGGCCGACUCCACCAUCUGCCACAUCCUCAACCUGUACCGGCGGAACACGUGGCUGAACCAGGUGCUGCGGGAAGGCACGCGGGUGCAGUGUGGAGCAGAUCCGCGAGGUCGCCUCGGGAACCGCCCACAUCCGUGGGGAGACGCUGGGCCUCAUUGGCUUUGGUCAGACGGGGCAGGCGGUUGCUGUUCGAGUCAAGGCCUUUGGAUUCAGCGUCAUAUUUUAUGACCCCUACUUGCAGGAUGGGAUAGAGCGGUCCCUGGGCGUGCAGAGGGUCUACACCCUGCAGGACUUGCUGUAUCAGAGCGACUGCGUCUCCUUGCACUGCAAUCUCAACGAACAUAACCACCACCUCAUCAAUGACUUUACCAUAAAGCAGAUGAGGCAAGGGGCAUUCUUGGUGAAUGCAGCCCGAGGUGGCCUGGUGGACAAGAAAGCCUUAGCCCAGGCCCUCAAGGAGGGCAGGAUACGAGGGGCAGCCCUCGACGUGCACGAGUCAGAGCCCUUUAGCUUUGCUGAAGGUCCACUGAAAGAUGCACCGAAUCUCAUCUGCACGCCCCACACAGCCAGCCUGGUUUAGUGAGCAAGCGUCACUAGAGAUGAGGGAAGCAGCCGCCACUGAGAUCCGCCGAGCAAUCACAGGUCGCAUCCCAGAAAGCUUAAGAAACCGUGAACAAGGAAUCCUUUGUCACUUCAGCUCCUUGGUCAGUAAUAGACCAGCAAGCAAUUCAUCCCGAGCUCAAUGGUGCCAAGUAGAGAUAUCCGCCAGGCAUUGUGGGCGUGGCUCCGGGAGGACUUCCUGCAGCCGUGGAAGGGAUCAUCCCUGGAGGCACCCCAGUGACUCACAAUCUCCCUACAGUGGCACACCCUUCCCAAGCUCCCUCUCCCAACCAGCCCACAAAACACGGGGACAAUCGAGAGCACCCCAAUGAGCAAUAG